Molecule: ribosomal RNA, 282 nt
Filed under: Triticum aestivum (bread wheat)
Lineage: Eukaryota; Viridiplantae; Streptophyta; Magnoliopsida; Poales; Poaceae
Description: partial small subunit ribosomal RNA
Source: RNAcentral
AUGGUUGAAACUAAGAAAAAUCUGGUAUUUCCAUUGGUAUACAAACUUAUUGACUUGGCUUUGAUAUUGCCGGUGUCAACUGCAUCUGUUGAGAGAGCAUUUUCAGCAAUGAAGAUUAUCAAGAAUAAAUUGCAUAGCAAGAUCAACAACGAAUGGUUCAACGACUUGAUGAUAUGUUACACCGAGUGGGAGUUAUUAAAGUAAGUUGAUGAUAAGGAUAUUAUUCGAACAUUUACAGCAAUGAAGUCUCGGAAAGGACAUUUGCCUCGUGAUUUUCUUUAG